UGAACGCUGGCGGACGUGCCUAACACAUGCAAGUCGAGCGGAGAUCAGGAAGUAGCAAUACGGAAUGGAUCUUAGCGGCGGACGGGUGAGUAACACGUGAGUAACCUGCCUUCUACAGGGGAAUAACACCGUGAAAACGGUGCUAAUACCGCAUAACAUCACACUGUGGCAUCACAGAGUGAUCAAAGGAGCAAUCCGGUAGAAGAUGGACUCGCGUCCGAUUAGCUAGUUGGCGGGGUAACGGCCCACCAAGGCGACGAUCGGUAGCCGAACUGAGAGGUUGAUCGGCCACAUUGGGACUGAGACACGGCCCAGACUCCUACGGGAGGCAGCAGUGGGGAAUAUUGGGCAAUGGGCCGAAAGCCUGACCCAGCAACGCCGCGUGAAGGAAGAAGGCCUUCGGGUUGUAAACUUCUUUGAACAGGGACGAAACAAAUGACGGUACCUGAAAAACAAGCCACGGCUAACUACGUGCCAGCCGCCGC
This 485-nucleotide ribosomal RNA is filed under the name uncultured bacterium. RNAcentral describes it as "bacterial SSU rRNA". It matches the Rfam family "Bacterial small subunit ribosomal RNA", at positions 30 to 518 of the family's 1533-position model. The record is from RNAcentral.